AUUGAACGCUGGCGGCAGGCCUAACACAUGCAAGUCGAACGGUAGCACAGAGAGCUUGCUCUCGGGUGACGAGUGGCGGACGGGUGAGUAAUGUCUGGGAAACUGCCCGAUGGAGGGGGAUAACUACUGGAAACGGUAGCUAAUACCGCAUAACGUCGCAAGACCAAAGUGGGGGACCUUCGGGCCUCACACCAUCGGAUGUGCCCAGAUGGGAUUAGCUAGUAGGUGGGGUAAUGGCUCACCUAGGCGACGAUCCCUAGCUGGUCUGAGAGGAUGACCAGCCACACUGGAACUGAGACACGGUCCAGACUCCUACGGGAGGCAGCAGUGGGGAAUAUUGCACAAUGGGCGCAAGCCUGAUGCAGCCAUGCCGCGUGUAUGAAGAAGGCCUUCGGGUUGUAAAGUACUUUCAGCGGGGAGGAAGGCGGUGAAGUUAAUAACCGCGUUCAUUGACGUUACCCGCAGAAGAAGCACCGGCUAACUCCGUGCCAGCCGCCGCCGUAA
Molecule: ribosomal RNA, 504 nt
Filed under: uncultured bacterium
Lineage: Bacteria
Description: partial 16S ribosomal RNA
Rfam family: Bacterial small subunit ribosomal RNA
Source: RNAcentral